This 465-nucleotide ribosomal RNA is filed under the name uncultured bacterium. RNAcentral describes it as "partial 16S ribosomal RNA". It matches the Rfam family "Bacterial small subunit ribosomal RNA", at positions 338 to 795 of the family's 1533-position model. The record is from RNAcentral.
CCUACGGGAGGCUGCAGUAGGGAAUCUUGCACAAUGGGUGAAAGCCUGAUGGAGCAACGCCGCGUGGGUGAAGAAGGUCUUCGGAUCGUAAAACCCUGUUGUUAGAGAAGAAAGUGCGUGAGAGUAACUGUUCACGUUUCGACGGUAUCUAACCAGAAAGCCACGGCUAACGACGUGCCAGCAGCCGCGGUAAUACGUAGGUGGCAAGCGUUAUCCGGAUUUAUUGGGCGUAAAGGGAACGCAGGCGGUCUUUUAAGUCUGAUGUGAAAGCCUUCGGCUUAACCGGAGUAGUGCAUUGGAAACUGGGAGACUGGAGUGCAGCAGAGGAGAGUGGAACUCCAUGUGUAGCGGUGAAAUGCGUAGAUAUUUGGAAGAACACCAGUGGCGAAGGCGGCUCUCUGGUCUGUAACUGACGCUGAGGUUCGAAAGCGUGGGUAGCAAACAGGAUUAGAUACCCUUGUAGUC